CAGUCGCCGCGGUAAUACGAGGGGGGCAAGCGUUGUUCGGAAUUAUUGGGCGUAAAGGGCGCGUAGGCGGUUUGGCAAGUUUCGUGUGAAAUCUUCGGGCUCAACUCGAAGUCUGCACGGAAAACUGCCGGGCUUGAGUAUGGGAGAGGUGAGUGGAAUUUCCGGUGUAGCGGUGAAAUGCGUAGAUAUCGGAAGGAACACCUGUGGCGAAAGCGGCUCACUGGGCCAUUACUGACGCUGAGGCGCGAAAGCUAGGGGAGCAAACAGGAUUAGAUACCCCCGUAGUCCCUGUCUCUUAUAC
RNAcentral lists this ribosomal RNA (301 nucleotides) under uncultured bacterium. RNAcentral's name for it is "partial 16S ribosomal RNA". It matches the Rfam family "Bacterial small subunit ribosomal RNA", at positions 509 to 807 of the family's 1533-position model. The record is from RNAcentral.